AGAGUUUGAUCCUGGCUCAGAACGAACGCUGGCGGCAGGCUUAACACAUGCAAGUCGAGCGCCCCGCAAGGGGAGCGGCAGACGGGUGAGUAACGCGUGGGAACGUACCUUUUGCUACGGAAUAACUCAGGGAAACUUGUGCUAAUACCGUAUGUGCCCUUCGGGGGAAAGAUUUAUCGGCAAAGGAUCGGCCCGCGUUGGAUUAACUAGUUGGUGAGGUAAAGGCUCACCAAGGCGACGAUCCAUAGCUGGUCUGAGAGGAUGAUCAGCCACACUGGGACUGAGACACGGCCCAGACUCCUACGGGAGGCAGCAGUGGGGAAUAUUGGACAAUGGGCGCAAGCCUGAUCCAGCCAUGCCGCGUGAGUGAUGAAGGCCCUAGGGUUGUAAAGCUCUUUCACCGGUGAAGAUAAUGACGGUAACCGGAGAAGAAGCCCCGGCUAACUUCGUGCCAGCAGCCGCGGUAAUACGAAGGGGGCUAGCGUUGUUCGGAUUUACUGGGCGUAAAGCGCACGUAGGUGGACUUUUAAGCCAGGGGUGAAAUCCCGGGGCUCAACCCCGGAACUGCCUUUGAUACUGGAAGUCUUGAGUAUGGUAGAGGUGAGUGGAAUUCCGAGUGUAGAGGUGAAAUUCGUAGAUAUUCGGAGGAACACCAGUGGCGAAGGCGGCUCAC
This 673-nucleotide ribosomal RNA is filed under the name uncultured Ochrobactrum sp. Its description in RNAcentral is "bacterial SSU rRNA". It matches the Rfam family "Bacterial small subunit ribosomal RNA", at positions 8 to 729 of the family's 1533-position model. Lineage: Bacteria; Pseudomonadati; Pseudomonadota; Alphaproteobacteria; Hyphomicrobiales; Brucellaceae. The record is from RNAcentral.